GACGAACGCUGGCGGCGUGCUUAACACAUGCAAGUCGAACGGAAAGGCCCUGCUUUUGUGGGGUGCUCGAGUGGCGAACGGGUGAGUAACACGUGAGUAACCUGCCCUUGACUUUGGGAUAACUUCGGGAAACUGGGGCUAAUACCGGAUAGGAGCUCCUGCUGCAUGGUGGGGGUUGGAAAGUUUCGGCGGUUGGGGAUGGACUCGCGGCUUAUCAGCUUGUUGGUGGGGUAGUGGCUUACCAAGGCUUUGACGGGUAGCCGGCCUGAGAGGGUGACCGGCCACAUUGGGACUGAGAUACGGCCCAGACUCCUACGGGAGGCAGCAGUGGGGAAUAUUGCACAAUGGGCGGAAGCCUGAUGCAGCAACGCCGCGUGCGGGAUGACGGCCUUCGGGUUGUAAACCGCUUUCGCCUGUGACGAAGCGUGAGUGACGGUAACGGGUAAAGAAGCACCGGCUAACUACGUG
This 468-nucleotide ribosomal RNA is filed under the name uncultured bacterium. RNAcentral describes it as "partial 16S ribosomal RNA". It matches the Rfam family "Bacterial small subunit ribosomal RNA", at positions 28 to 507 of the family's 1533-position model. The record is from RNAcentral.